AUACGGAAGGUCCAGGCGUUAUCCGGAUUUAUUGGGUUUAAAGGGAGCGUAGGCCGUCUGUUAAGCGUGUUGUGAAAUGUAGAUGCUCAACAUCUGAAAUUGCAGCGCGAACUGGCAGACUUGAGUGUGCGCAACGUAGGCGGAAUUCGUGGUGUAGCGGUGAAAUGCUUAGAUAUCACGAAGAGCUCCGAUUGCGAAGGCAGCUUACGGGAGCACAACUGACGCUGAAGCUCGAAAGUGCGGGUAUC
Molecule: ribosomal RNA, 248 nt
Filed under: uncultured bacterium
Lineage: Bacteria
Description: partial 16S ribosomal RNA
Rfam family: Bacterial small subunit ribosomal RNA
Source: RNAcentral